This 594-nucleotide ribosomal RNA is filed under the name uncultured Bacteroidota bacterium. RNAcentral describes it as "bacterial SSU rRNA". It matches the Rfam family "Bacterial small subunit ribosomal RNA", at positions 122 to 715 of the family's 1533-position model. The record is from RNAcentral. Lineage: Bacteria; Pseudomonadati; Bacteroidota.
CAACCUGCCGAUAACUCGGGGAUAGCCUUUCGAAAGAAAGAUUAAUAUCCGAUAGUAUAUUAAAACCGCAUGGUUUUACUAUUAAAGAAUUUCGGUUAUCGAUGGGGAUGCGUUCCAUUAGUUUGUUGGCGGGGUAACGGCCCACCAAGACUACGAUGGAUAGGGGUUCUGAGAGGAAGGUCCCCCACAUUGGAACUGAGACACGGUCCAAACUCCUACGGGAGGCAGCAGUGAGGAAUAUUGGUCAAUGGGCGAGAGCCUGAACCAGCCAAGUAGCGUGAGGGAUGAAGGCUCUAUGGGUCGUAAACCUCUUUUAUAUGGGAAUAAAGUUUUCCACGUGUGGAAUUUUGUAUGUACCAUAUGAAUAAGGAUCGGCUAACUCCGUGCCAGCAGCCGCGGUAAUACGGAGGAUCCGAGCGUUAUCCGGAUUUAUUGGGUUUAAAGGGAGCGUAGGCGGAUUGUUAAGUCAGUUGUGAAAGUUUGCGGCUCAACCGUAAAAUUGCAGUUGAAACUGGCAGUCUUGAGUACAGUAGAGGUGGGCGGAAUUCGUGGUGUAGCGGUGAAAUGCUUAGAUAUCACGAAGAACUCCGAUUG